Solanum tuberosum (potato) is the source of this 741-nucleotide long non-coding RNA. RefSeq lists it as uncharacterized. The record is from RefSeq and is a predicted model, not a curated record. The transcript is spliced from 2 exons. Lineage: Eukaryota; Viridiplantae; Streptophyta; Magnoliopsida; Solanales; Solanaceae.
AAAUUGUCCAGAUUUGUGUUUAUCUAAAUGUGGGCUAACAUCUGAUAACUUAUUUUGAUCCUAUUUGAAAAUCUAGUGAUAUCCAUAUUGUACAUCAAGAACACCUUGAGUGAAUGAAUUCAAAGUCUUGAAGAGAAGGUGUUUUAACUUUCAAAAUUGUCAAUUGUUGUAUUUAGCCAUGGUUCAAAGUUUGAGUUCUCUUGUAUUUCAAGAUAUACAUGUUGUCAAGUUUAUUUGUGUUUCCUACUCCAUAUAAAUGACAAAAAUUUUAAACUAAUGAAGUUGAUAUUUUUUGGUUAACUCUUGCAUAUCUGGCUACACAUAACAUUUUGUUUCGUAUAAAACAUGCCUACAAGAAUGGUCCACAUGGCGGUCUUGAACUAGCUGGAAUUAUUCAUCUUUAACUGUAUGGAUGAACAUAUAGAGUAUUCUUAUUUGGAUGGCCAUGAAUUAUGCAUUCUGGAAUUAGUAAAAGCCUCGACCACAAGUGAUCAACGAGCAAGUAAAAAUGGAGUGCAAGUAUAAGUAUUUUGACAUUCUUAAUAGUAAACAGAAAUGUAAAGACAAGUUAUGAAUAGAAAAACUGUACAAAUAGAGAAACUACAUAUAUAGAGGAUUUGAAUAGGCUUGUCGGAGGAGCUAGUUAUUGGUUGCUUUAAUUGUAACUCUUCUGAUUGUUGUUUUAAAUAUUGUGUUUGUUGAACCAAAAAUAGAUUACUUUAAGAGUUUUAUAAAUUUUGA